AUUGAACGCUGGCGGCAGGCCUAACACAUGCAAGUCGAGCGGAUGAAGGGAGCUUGCUCCUGGAUUCAGCGGCGGACGGGUGAGUAAUGCCUAGGAAUCUGCCUGGUAGUGGGGGAUAACGUCCGGAAACGGGCGCUAAUACCGCAUACGUCCUGAGGGAGAAAGUGGGGGAUUUUCGACCCCACGCUAUUAGGAUGACCCUAGGUCGGAUUACCAAGUUGGUGGGGUAAAGGCCUACCAAGGCGACGAUCCGUAACUGGUCUGAGAGGAUAAUCAGUCACACUGGAACUGAGACACGGUCCAGACUCCUACGGGAGGCAGCAGUGGGGAAUAUUGGACAAUGGGCGAAAGCCUGAUCCAGCCAUGCCGCGUGUGUGAAGAAGGUCUUCGGAUUGUAAAGCACUUUAAGUUGGGAGGAAGGGCAGUAAGUUAAUACCUUGCUGUUUUGACGUUACCAACAGAAUAAGCACCGGCUAACUUCGUG
This 484-nucleotide ribosomal RNA is filed under the name uncultured bacterium. RNAcentral's name for it is "partial 16S ribosomal RNA". It matches the Rfam family "Bacterial small subunit ribosomal RNA", at positions 30 to 507 of the family's 1533-position model. The record is from RNAcentral.